UUUUCCAAAUAAAUAAUAGCGCAAACUUUAAAUAAUAUUUCUAUAAUUGUAUAUUUUUUUUAUUUUAUUAUAGUGUGAUUUAAAGUAUUUUAAUUUAGUAAUAUGUGCUUUUAUUUUUUAUUUUUCGUCCGCUCCUCCGUUAACAUUUCGUUAAAUUAUAUAUAAAAAAACUACAGAUAUCCUAUCUAAGUUUAUCAAAUAUUCACUUCAGUAUAUUUUAGUUUUAACUUUGUCAUUGAUUUAACGAAAAAAAUUAGUGAAAGAAAUAAUAAAAAGAGAAAAAUAAAACCACGGGUACUAAAUCGAUACACUUUAAACUACAUAGUACCAAAGUGAGAAAGUGUGAGAUCACGUGAGCAAUAUUUGAAGUUUUUUCUAAAUAAUAUGUGUAAAAUUAUUAAUGAUAAAUAACUAGUAAAACUAUUGUGGGUUAGUAACUAACAG
Molecule: long non-coding RNA, 444 nt
Filed under: Ananas comosus (pineapple)
Lineage: Eukaryota; Viridiplantae; Streptophyta; Magnoliopsida; Poales; Bromeliaceae
Description: long non-coding RNA (ACOM_LNC015902)
Source: RNAcentral